CUAAACCACAUUUGCUGAUGGGGCCUAACAUCAGUAUUACAACUUUAAGAGGAAGUGGAAGCUGCAGAGUGGAGAAGGCAUUAUGGAUUAUGAAUCCUCUUAGCUAACCUGAGGCUGAUAGCCAAUGACGUUGAUGCAGCGCGGAUCGACAAAAGUGACGACACCAUCCGAGUUGUGACGUGACAGAAACUCUGUGGGCACCGACAAUCCGUUCAUAUCCAUUGAGACUGGAGAGCUGGUCACCUGAGAAAGGACAGUACCUGUUCGGUGAGAAAGGAGGGCUUAUAGGCCCCAUCAGUGGAUGUGUUGCCAGUGCCCCUCAUGGACUUCAUAUGGGAGACAGCCAUACGCAAGAUGGUCAGCUUAUCAGGUUUUCGGGCCAGGGCGCUGCAGGUAGGGACCAUGUCUGACAGCUCAGUGAUGUACUGGGUCA
Long non-coding RNA from Micropterus dolomieu (smallmouth bass), 433 nucleotides. RefSeq lists it as uncharacterized. The transcript is spliced from 3 exons. Lineage: Eukaryota; Metazoa; Chordata; Actinopteri; Centrarchiformes; Centrarchidae. The record is from RefSeq and is a predicted model, not a curated record.